CCUACGGGGGGCUGCAGUGAGGAAUAUUGGUCAAUGGACGAGAGUCUGAACCAGCCAAGUAGCGUGAAGGAUGACUGCCCUAUGGGUUGUAAACCUCUUUUAUAAAGGAAUAAAACGAGGCACGUGUGCCGCUUUGCAUGUACUCUAUGAAUAAGGAUCGGCUAACUCCGUGCCAGCAGCCGCGGUAAUACGGAGGAUGCGAGCGUUAUCCGGAUUUAUUGGGUUUAAAGGGGGCGUAGAUGGGUUGUUAAGUCAGUUGUGAAAGUUUGCGGCUCAACCGUAAAAUUGCAAUUGAUACUGGCAGUCUUGAGUACAGUUGAGGUAGGCGGAAUUCGUGGUGUAGCGGUGAAAUGCUUAGAUAUCACGCAGAACUCCGAUUGCGAAGGCAGCUUACUAAACUAUAACUGACACUGAAGCACGAAAGCGUGGGGAUCGAACAGGAUUAGAUACCCCAGUAGUC
This 460-nucleotide ribosomal RNA is filed under the name uncultured bacterium. Its description in RNAcentral is "partial 16S ribosomal RNA". It matches the Rfam family "Bacterial small subunit ribosomal RNA", at positions 338 to 795 of the family's 1533-position model. The record is from RNAcentral.